AAUGUUAGGAAGAGCCUCCAUGUCUGGAAUUGGAACCAGGCCCGAUUUGGGAGCUCCGACCAGACCAACCAGCUGAGCAACCAGCAGCGUAAUGGGGUUAAUUUCCCGCAGCAGAAGCAGCAGAAUGCUCCGGCGGCGGCGGCGGCGGCGGUGGCGGCGGCGGUGGCGGCGGCGGUGGCGCCGCCGCCACCUCCUCCGGCGAGGCAGAUUGAUUUCUCUGGGGUGGCCAGGCUGAAGAGCCUGGAGACGGAGAAGGACGACGCAGAGUUACCCUGCAAGGAAGGGAGGCCGGCAGCGGCGGCCGCCGCCGCUGGUGAGGAGCGGAGACCGAGGAAGAGAGGGAGGAAGCCGGCGAAUGGGAGGGAGGAGCCCCUCAACCAUGUGGAAGCGGAGCGGCAGAGGAGGGAGAAGCUGAACCAGAGAUUCUACGCUCUCCGCGC
This 440-nucleotide long non-coding RNA is filed under the name Spirodela polyrhiza (greater duckweed). Its description in RNAcentral is "long non-coding RNA (SPOL_LNC001087)". Lineage: Eukaryota; Viridiplantae; Streptophyta; Magnoliopsida; Alismatales; Araceae. The record is from RNAcentral.